Molecule: unclassified non-coding RNA, 504 nt
Filed under: Leishmania donovani
Lineage: Eukaryota; Euglenozoa; Kinetoplastea; Trypanosomatida; Trypanosomatidae
Description: gene:unknown
Source: RNAcentral
CCAGCGUUGCGCGUCCUCUACCUAGUCAGGAAGAAGUGGGUGCUGAAGGUGGCGGAUCCGCAGAACAUACUGUGAGGGAUGGCCGACCUCCACGCCACCAAUGGCGCCACUCGGGGAUCUCCUUAAGGAGAAGUCCCUCGUCACCGUCGGUGCGUCGUUCGGCGCCGCUGCCAUGCAGUUCGCUCACUUUGGCAAGUGAGGAGCGCGUCCCGACGUGUCCGGGGGCGUUGCGAAAGGAGGAGAGCUCCGCUGGCGUCAGCGAAGAGAUUGCUGCAGCCGAGAAGGGCGAAGCUGCUCUUGUGGGUUCCAGGGCUCCACUUUGCGCCGUCUACCCUCGGCGUCCCGGGGUGCCAUCAAGCGUCUAACACUAUCAAGACCUCCCUCUCCGGUACGCCAGCGAAUGAGCAAAGGGCCGUCGUUUUCUGCGCCGCGCACUUGCACCGGAAGUUUGUCUCUCCCGCGCCGCAUUCCUCUUCGUAUCAGCACUGUGAACACACUUCCCAG